This 254-nucleotide ribosomal RNA is filed under the name uncultured bacterium. RNAcentral's name for it is "partial 16S ribosomal RNA". It matches the Rfam family "Bacterial small subunit ribosomal RNA", at positions 524 to 776 of the family's 1533-position model. The record is from RNAcentral.
UACGUAGGGGGCGAGCGUUGUCCGGAUUUAUUGGGCGUAAAGAGCUCGUAGGCGGUUUGGUAAGUUGGAUGUGAAAUCUCCAGGCUCAACUUGGAGGGGUCAUUCGAUACUGCCAUGACUAGAGUUCGGUAGGGGAGUGUGGAAUUCCUGGUGGAGCGGUGAAAUGCGCAGAUAUCAGGAGGAACACCGGUGGCGAAGGCGGCUCGCUGGGCCAGUUCUGACACUCAUCCGCGAAAGCGUGGGGAGCAAACAGG